UAGCAGGUGAGCCUCUUCAUGCCCCAAGCACCCUGCACUUUUAGUGCCCUGGAAGCACCUGCUUCACUGACGUGGCCAUUCCCCGGGCCUCAGGCACCUGUCCCACUGCCAAGUCAGAUGGCCUCGGUCAGGCUUGCUUAGACUGUGACGUUCAUCAGUGCAGACAUUCUUCUUCUUUUUGAGUAUAAAUAUGCUAGAACAUGUCCUUUUACUCACUCAUAUUCUCAUACUAGAUGUUGUUGUUUUUUUUCUCUCCUGGAUUUUUAAUUUUCUUUCUCAACCUCAUUUUGUAACAAAUGUUCCCAAAUUCAUUCUCCAGAUUUUAUCUCUUGUCAUCCAUAUACUUGACAGUUUUUAAUGUGUCAGGCACUGGGUGACCAUAUCCCUGCCCAUAAGGAGAAUACCUAGAAGUCUUCCCACGGGGCUGGGAAGAUGUUGUAUCUGUCAGGAUCCUGCAGGAAACAGAUGGCACACUCAGAGGGGUGAGUGAAGAGAUUUAGCAAAACAUUAUAAAAGUUUGGAGCAGAGUUCAGGGAAAUCAACAAGGAAUGACAAAGAAUGGUGAAUUUCUCUAGGGCUGGCAACAGAGGAGGAAGGAAGGGAGGGCUGAUGGGACCACAGGAGGGAGCAGGUGGCAUAACAGGGGCUUAGCUGUGAUCCUGGGUUGACCCUGGGGAAGGGCCAUCUGAUUGAGCUGGAAGAAUGCAGCCUCUGCUAUACCAGUGCCCAGUCUGGAGGGAGCUGGGGGAAUAAACUCCCCGACCUCUCUCUCUUUCUACCCAUCAAUCUCCUUAAGGUGUUACCUGUUGGUUGAACCCUGCCCAAAGCAAGGGAACCUUGAUGUUGUCUAUACAGGUCUCUCUCUGCUGGGGCAUGCAGCGGGGGAAAAAAGUGGAGUGGCUUCUUGUCCAAUAACUCCCCUUGGCUCUGCAGCCUUCAGCUAAAACAACUCAGGAGGCAGUGCCUGAUGUGGAAGAGGGAAUCAUGAGUCCUCCCAGGCCUGCUGCCAGGCAGCUACCUCAUUCUCUUCCCUCUUUCCCUCUUUGCUUCUUCUUCCCUUUGCCAAAUAUGACUUUCAUGCCUACAAGUUCAUUUGGUCUGCAGCGGCUGCCACAGCUUCUGGCCUAAGAGCAAAGGGCGCUUUCAGAAAAGAAGGUUCCCUGGUCCAGGAAGCAUCCGAACCUGCUCUGAGUGGCAAGUUUUCCAGUGAAGUGAAUUUGAACUCUUAUGUAUCUUUGCCAAAGGUUUCUUGGACCCGCUAAGUAAACACAUUAAAAUGCCAGUAAAAAUU
Pipistrellus kuhlii (Kuhl's pipistrelle) is the source of this 1291-nucleotide long non-coding RNA. RefSeq lists it as uncharacterized. Lineage: Eukaryota; Metazoa; Chordata; Mammalia; Chiroptera; Vespertilionidae. The record is from RefSeq and is a predicted model, not a curated record. The transcript is spliced from 2 exons.